GACGAACGCUGGCGGCGUGCUUAACACAUGCAAGUCGAACGGAAAGGCCCUGCUUUUGUGGGGUGCUCGAGUGGCGAACGGGUGAGUAACACGUGAGUAACCUGCACUUGACUUUGGGAUAACUUCAGGAAACUGGGGCUAAUACCGGAUAUGAGCUCCUGCUGCAUGGUGGGGGUUGGAAAGUUUCGGCGGUUGGGGAUUGACUCGCGGCUUAUCAGCUUGUUGUUGGGGUAGUGGCUUUCCAAGGCUUUGACGGGUAGCCGGCCUGUGAGGGUGACCGGCAACAUGGGGACUGAGAGACGGCCCAGACUCCUACGGGAGGCAGCAGUGGGGAAUAUUGCAAAAUGGGCGGAAGCCUGAUGCAGCAACGCCGCGUGCGGGAUGACGGCCUUCGGGGUGUAAACCGCUUUCGCCUGUGACGAAGCGUGAGUGACGGUAAUGGGUAAAGAAGCACCGGCUAACUACGUG
RNAcentral lists this ribosomal RNA (468 nucleotides) under uncultured bacterium. RNAcentral describes it as "partial 16S ribosomal RNA". It matches the Rfam family "Bacterial small subunit ribosomal RNA", at positions 28 to 507 of the family's 1533-position model. The record is from RNAcentral.